RNAcentral lists this ribosomal RNA (403 nucleotides) under uncultured bacterium. Its description in RNAcentral is "bacterial SSU rRNA". It matches the Rfam family "Bacterial small subunit ribosomal RNA", at positions 356 to 775 of the family's 1533-position model. The record is from RNAcentral.
GAGGAAUAUUGCACAAUGGGCGAAAGCCUGAUGCAGCAACGCCGCGUGCGGGACGAAGGCCUUCGGGUCGUAAACCGCUUUUCUGGGGAAAGAGCAAGGACGGUACCUCAGGAAUAAGUCUCGGCUAACUACGUGCCAGCAGCCGCGGUAAAACGUAGGAGGCGAGCGUUAUCCGGAUUUACUGGGCGUAAAGCGCACGCAGGCGGCUCUGUGAGUCGGACGUGAAAGCUCUCGGCUUAACCGGGAGAGGCCGUUCGAUACUGCGGGGCUUGAGGUAGGGAGAGGAAUGCGGAAUUCCCGGUGUAGUGGUGGAAUGCGUAGAUAUCGGGAGGAACACCUGUGGCGAAAGCGGCAUUCUGGCCCUCACCUGACGCUGAGGUGCGAAAGCGUGGGUAGCAAACAG